Molecule: long non-coding RNA, 2747 nt
Organism: Ahaetulla prasina
Lineage: Eukaryota; Metazoa; Chordata; Lepidosauria; Squamata; Colubridae
Exons: 3
Source: RefSeq, a predicted model, not a curated record
AAGGACGUCUUCCAGCUCUCGGGGCUUCUUUCGCUGGGAGGGCGAGGAAGCAGCUUUUCCUCUCCCCGGGAGGUGGGAGCAGGCGGUCUCUCCUUCAAGCUUCGCCAAGUGGCUCCGGGAGCGAAGCGAGUUUCUUCCCCGGGUAUAAAUCGUCAGCAGUCACCAAGGAAAAGCGGGGAUGCUCGCGGGAUGGCUGUCUGUGGGCAACAGACGGGCUGCGUAGAUGCUCUAUGCGGGGACCGUAGCAGACAUCCUACGUGCGUAUGCGGGUCAGGUUUGGAAGCCUCCGUUUUAUGUCUCUACGUGUGACCAGAAACGGAGCAAGCGGCAGGCUUGGGAGCGAAAGCGCUGCUGAGGCGUCUCCUUCGCCUCAUGGCCCGCCCUUAACACCAAACAGACUCGCCCACCUUCUGAAAACCUGACUGAAUUACACGAAGUGGUUUCUUGAUGCAGCAGGUAACCGUUUCCGCGGGGGGAACUGCGAGGCAGAAUUGCAAAGCGAUGCCUGGUGCCGGCUCUGGGCUCUUCCCGCUCCCCCCCACUCCGUAGAAAGGGAGGUGGAGGGAGAACCAAGCGAAACCAUUCACCCAGACCUGGGAGGAAAGAAUGCGGCACCGGCUGCUGAAGGAAGUGAUCAUCUGCCGGGCGACAUCCGUGGAAUUUCACCCGAAAUUGCCAGCUUAAUCUGGCUCUUUUGAGUGUGAUCUGUUUUUAAAGGAACGGGGGUGGGGGGUAGAAAUGAGCUUAACUAUCUGGUAAACAAUUUGCGUGGAAUCUUCUGUCCGUUCCCGAUGUUGCCUUGCCAAAAAGCAGGUCAACCUUGGAGGUUUGCAUAAGAUUGUUUAAAAAAUAAAGUGCUCUUUGCUCGAUCUGCACCUACAUUUGCGGGUCUCCAGGCCUUCCACCCCACACACACACUGUUGAGUUGAAGUGCCGUCUCCCAUCCUUGAGUCGGCAGAAAACUACAGUACCUGCCUGUCUAUGCCCUGCUCUGCCAGCUACCUGACUUCUUUUCAAAAUAGCAGGUGAUACUCAAUUUUAUAAAGAUCACAGAGGAUCCCCAAGGCCCCUUCCAACUUUGUUACUGUUAUUGGUGCUUUAACUCUGUCUUAUUCCUGGGUGGGGACAAGGCAAACUCAGAUGACAUGGCAGAAAAAAGUAUGCCAGAGCAGGUUAAUGCCAUGUCAUGGUUUGAUGCAAGAGAUAAUGUCAGAACAUGUGCUGCUGAGAGAGAAAUUGUGGACCUUAGCAAGUCCCAUUUCAUCAGCUUUGUUCCCAGGACAGACAUCUUUGUGUCUGCAGGCAGAUGGAUUUGUGUGCUGCCUGGCGCUAGUGAGCCAGCUCAGGUGACCUUUUUCUAGAAAGCAAUUUUAAGGUGGUGUACUUUUAUAUGGAUCCACCCAUCACUCAUUCACAUAAAUAAAAACAACACCCCAGUGGAGACCAAAAUCCCAGACCGAUAAUUAAGGAUAAACACUGCUCCACAAGUUAUAAGUGAAACUUUACUAUAAAAGAAAAUAAAUUAGGAAGAAAGGGAGUGCAAUUAAUGGUACGCCAUUCAGAAUCGCUCUGUAAGUGAGAUGGGCAGUCGGUUAUAAAUAAAAUAAAAUUAAUUUUCUUAAAGAAAUACAGCCUGCUUUGUGUCCAUUCUUUUAGCAACUUGGGGAAAGAGACUCAAUACAUUUUAGGCAGGAAUUUUCCUCCCUGCUUUCUAACAGCAUUACUUUUAAUUCUGUGAGAAAUGUUCUUUCAAGUGUAACAAAAUAGUUUUUCAGCAACUGCCGCCCCCUCCCCUCCCCUGGAAGUCUGUGUUUUUAACUGCUCUGUCUCUUUGCUUAUAAUUUUUUGAAGCUUUCCAGUUGUUUCAAAGUGCCCAUGUUCCCUCUAGUGGUGAAUUGUAAGACAACACCUGAGGCAUUUCUAAUAAGGGAUUUUACUGAGUUUAUUUCAAUCAGUUUGCCUAUACCAGGUAAGAUAUACUUCAAUAUUUUUUUUUAAAGGCCACUAAGAGUUGCUAAAAAUAUGGAAUAACUCUUUCAGAUAAUCUAAGACUAGGAAAGGUUUUAAGAAUGUGCAAAUCUACCAAAAUAUAUUUCAUAUCAUGGAAGGGUGGAUUCAAAUUAUACCAUAAUAGAAAUAAAUAUAGAUAGCAAAUAUAAUAUUUGCUGACUGUAUGAUACAGACUGAAACAGAAAAUCAUGCUACAGUAUUCCGCAUUAUAGUUUUCCAUAUUGCUGAAGCUAGUUUUUUCUCUUGUAGCUAUGCCUAAGAUGGCCACUAUAGAGUUAAGCCGGUGAAGUGAUAAAUUAUUAACAGGAUAACAGGUUACAAACAAAAUGCAAUUGUCAUAGUUCUAUUUUCAAGCAGUUGACAUUAAAGAAUAAACAGAAGCAGUAGCACAAUAACUUUGGAUCCAUUAUCCUUUUUCCCCCAAAAGAAAGUAACAUGGCUUUCAGACUGGCAAGUGCCACUACAAAACAAUUCAUAUGGGUUUAUUGACUUAAAUUUGUUCAUUUAUCUAUUAUCUAUCUAUUAAUCUAUCUAUUAAUCUAUGUACCUUUCAUUAUGUGAUUAAACAAUUAUUGGAGCUACUUACUUUUGCCAAUAAAUACCUUUGACUUUUGCUUAUAAUUAGAAUCAUAAGGUACAUUAAGAAGUGAUUUAGUCUACAUGAACAUGCAUUAAAAAAUUGAAAUAAAGAAUUUUCACUGAGGAAUACAAACAAAUAUAAUACAAUAAUUGCAAAG